RNAcentral lists this ribosomal RNA (427 nucleotides) under uncultured bacterium. RNAcentral describes it as "bacterial SSU rRNA". It matches the Rfam family "Bacterial small subunit ribosomal RNA", at positions 355 to 774 of the family's 1533-position model. The record is from RNAcentral.
UGGGGAAUUUUGGACAAUGGGCGCAAGCCUGAUCCAGCAAUGCCGCGUGCAGGAUGAAGGCCUUCGGGUUGUAAACUGCUUUUGUACGGAGCGAAAAGGUCUGCCCUAAUACCUGGGGCUCAUGACGGUACCGUAAGAAUAAGCACCGGCUAACUACGUGCCAGCAGCCGCGGUAAUACGUAGGGUGCGAGCGUUAAUCGGAAUUACUGGGCGUAAAGCGUGCGCAGGCGGUGAUGUAAGACAGAUGUGAAAUCCCCGGGCUCAACCUGGGACCUGCACUUGUGACUGCAUCGCUGUAGUGCGGCAGAGGGGGAUGGAAUUCCGCGUGUAGCAGUGAAAUGCGUAGAUAUGCGGAGGAACACCGAUGGCGAAGGCAAUCCCCUGGGCCUGCACUGACGCUCAUGCACGAAAGCGUGGGGAGCAAACA